Molecule: RNA transcript, 1093 nt
Organism: Brassica oleracea var. oleracea
Lineage: Eukaryota; Viridiplantae; Streptophyta; Magnoliopsida; Brassicales; Brassicaceae
Gene name: serine/arginine-rich SC35-like splicing factor SCL30A
Exons: 7
Source: RefSeq, a predicted model, not a curated record
CUUCUCUCUUGUGGGAUUCAGUGAUAAUGGGGAGGAGCUAUAGUUACAGACCAUCACCACCAAGGAGAAGGUACAGAAGCCCAAGUCCCGUGGGAUACUACAAAGGGCGGAGUAGAGAUGCCCCAACCAGUCUACUUGUUCGCAAUCUCCGGCUCGACUGUCGGCCAGAUGAUUUUCGUAGACCAUUUGGGCGGUUUGGUCGUCUCAAGGAUAUCUACAUACCUCGUAACUAUUACACUGGUGUUGAAGAUGAAGAAGUAGGAAGAUUAAUUUGCAUGAAGUAGUAAGAAUACUUUGUUUGAGACUACAGAGGGUAAGUGAGAUUAGUGUUGAUGACUGGUUAAUACUUCGAGAUUGAGUUUCAUUUUGAAGAUGUUCUGGUCAAAGUCGAAGUUAGUACAGUGGCUUCGAAAAGGGAGCCUCGUGGGUUUGGCUUUGUGCAGUACUAUGAUCCUGAUGAUGCUGCAGAUGCAAAGUAUCAUUUAGAUGGCUACGUUCUUCUAGGCCGCGAAAUCACUGUGGUGUUUGCAGAGGAGAACAGAAAGAAGCCUUCCGAAAUGAGAGAACGAUCAAGGGGAAGGACAUCUACAAGAUCUCCAUAUGGUCACUCCAGGUCUCCUGGCUACUCGCGUUCGCCAAACUACAGAAGAAACUACUCACGUUCGCCAGUCUACAGGAGAAGCUAUUCGCGUUCGCCGUAUGAUGAAAGGCACCGUUCAAGGUCUGUUUCACCGGGAGACAGGAGGCGAUCGUACUCAAGGUCAAGCUCAAGAUCUCGCUAUGAGUCGAGAAGCAGGAGCCAGAGUCCUGCAUACUCACGCUGAUUUGCUAUAUGACCCCAAGAAUGUGAAGAUGGGGUGUGGUCUCACGCUCUGCUUGUUAGUUAUGUAUGAAAAAUAAUAAAUCAUAGUUUGGAGUUAAGAGUACAAAGGUAACCUAUGGUUUGGUUUCAUUUCCUUAGUACUUAAUGGUAGUCUUUUGUAUGCUCAAGCGUGACAUCUAUGCCUACUUAUUGUGUACCACGAGAGAGUUUCGAUUCUCACAACCUUAUGUGGAACGUAGUUUAUAAUCAAUAAAAGCUCUUUUACUACUA